ACACCUGGAGCAUUUCCUGGCAGAAGGCGCGCACCGAGCGCAGCGAGGCGAGGUCCAGCUCCCGGACUAUGAGCUCGCCCACCCCGCUGACGCCAGGCUCUGGGCCGCACUCCGCGGCCUGGCGGAGCUCGCGGCGGAGCUGACCCGCCGCCUCCUCGGCGCGCGCGCGGUCCCGGCAGCCCAUGAUCACCCGCGCUCCCAGGCGCAGUAGCUCGGCGGCCGUGGCGCGGCCCAGGCCGCUGUUCGCCCCGGUGAUCAGCACAGUCUUCCCGUGCAUGAGGCCGGGGUCCCCGCCUCUGCGCAGCCGCUGGACCCUGGGCCCCACGAACCGGCGGGCCGCCAGCCACAGCGCCCCGCCCAGAGCGGCCAGUACUGCCGCCGCAGUGGCCACUGCCAUCGUCAGGCCCGAGGGCCCACCGGCCCCUCCACGGGAGUUCCGCAGCCGCCGCCUUACCGGAACCCAAGAGACCACCUGUACGCGGAGAACGCUGGGGCGCGGCGGGUCGGCCCCUGACGGUGCGCGUGGGGCAUGCUGGGACUUGUAGUUUCCCUCUGGGGGGGUCGCCUGAUUGGUUGUGAGAGUUCAGCGCCCUGGGUCCUGCGCCCUCCGUGGAAGCUCCUCCCAGCCUAAUGAUGGAGGCUGGGCAACCAGCACAGUGUUCAGGGUGCUGGGGUUCAUACGUAUUGAAAUCCCAGAGUAGUGGCGGACUUCCCCAUGGGAAUGUCUGAUGAGUACUUUGAAUCACAGAUCUCUGUACAGGCCCUGUUACAAAUGCCACUCCUCAGGGCAUUUCGUGUGUUUUCCUUUGAGGGCUCUUGGGACUUGUAAAUUCAGUUCAAUUCACCUUCUGAGGAAUGGGCCCUGACAAGCUGAAGUCUGAGGUAGGACUGUUUUUCAUAGAUGAGACAAAGAAUUAAGCAACAUGAAUCAGUUGGAAAUAGAAUGGUCGAGUAGUUCUCAAACUUAAAUGCACAUCAGAAUCACCUGGAGGACUUGGGGUGGGGGUUCGGGGUGGGGGAAUGAAACAAAACGAAAACAAAAAACCAGGGCCCCAGUAUUAGAGUUUCUAAUUCAAUAGGUACAGGAUGGGGCCUGAUAAUUUGCACUUUUAACAAGUUUCCAGGUGCUGCUGCUGCUGCAGAUCUGGGAACCACACUUUGAGAACCACUGAACAAGACAUUAUGUCAUUGGUCCCUAUUAAAAAAAAGAAAGCCAUCUUCAAAUGAUCUUCACACUGGCAGAGCCAUAAGCUGCGAUGGAACCUAACCUCUGUGCCCCUUCAAUGUGGAACAUGUGGUCAUCAAAGAAGAUGUGGGGCCGGAUCUUCACCAAGAUGGGACUUUUGGGGGCUCCAGCAAGGAAAAGAGCUUCGUCUAUCUCUAGACCCCAGCGUCGAAGGGUCUUCAGCACACGGGCGCCUGAACUGGCUGCACUCCUAGCUGUAACCAGCCAUCAUCCAUGGAAAGUCCAGAUUAGCCUCCUGGAUGGAUUUGUGAGAAGCAGAGCCUCUCCUCCAAGCCAGAGAAGCCAUUGUGUACCAGCUCGCCCUAUUAGCAUACCAUGUGCCCAGGAGUAAACAGGUAAUUGUGGGACCACAGACAGAUUAACCCAUCACCUAAGGUGAGGCAGCUGAGCUGGGAAAACCAGAGGUCUAUUUAAUUUCCUCAUUACUUUUAUAGUGAUUGAAACAAAAAGCUAUUUAUUUAUUAUUGAAGAGAGAGGUUCUCAUUCUGUCACCCAGGCUGGAGUACAGUGGCACAAUCAUAGCUGCCUGCAGCUUUGAACUCCUGGGGCUCAAGCAGUCCUCCUGCCUCAGCCCCCCAAGUAGCUAGGACUAGAAAUGGGUGCCACCAUGCCUGGCUAAUUUCAAAAAACCAUUAAAAAACAUAAAUAAAAUGAUGUGCUUGGGAAUGUGAAGAGUGUGUGUGGGUUGAAAAUGAAUAUUUCUUCCAAUGAACAGCAAUUUAAUAAAACUGAAAAUUCUGACAUUUUCUUGCUAGUACGGUUGAUAGCUGUCUGGUUCAUCCAGAUGGUUGGUAACAGACUGCUUGAAGUGAGAAUCCCAAAUGAGGUAUAAGCAGUGAGUGAAUUUUUGCAGAGUGGUGCCGAGUGUCUUAGAGUGCGGUACUGAUGAUGCAUUGUGGGUUUAGUAACCAGCUGAGGUCCUCGGUACCUCAGGUGGUGCAGUCCCAGGACCCAGGGGUUCAACACAAAGCAAAAAGCACUUUGAAUGGGAUGGGGCAGGUGCUGGUAAUGAAAGAGAGUGCCUCUCUUCAUUGUAUCAUGAGUUCUAUGACAAGACUUUCACCAACCAUGUAAGAUAUUAAAUGAGAUAAUACAGUAUGCUCAGCUGGAAGGAAAGAUAAGGGCUUCUCUGUAUUAUGUAUCUGUUCUUUUGUAAAGUCUGGUCACCAUAAUACAGGGAAAUCCUUACCUUCUUUUUUAGUUGAACAUCUCAUAUGCUAGUUAAUCCUCAUAUCAAUUUCAUACAGUGAUAUUAUUUUUAGGACACAGAAAGAGAAACUGAGGCACAGUAUGUCAAUAAGUUGGCCAAAGUCAUACAGGCACUCCGUGAAAGAGCUGAGGUUUGUAUAAAUUCUGUCUAAUGCCAAAAGUGAUACCUUCCACUCUGUGAUAGCCACUCUGUGAUACCUUCCAUUCCUUUGCCCUUUCCUGUCCUCCAGUUUAGCUCUUGGCUACUUUGCUCAUGCUGUAACCUUCUCCCCAUGCCUAAAAGGCCCUUUCUCUUCCUCUUCUCUCAACAUGUUCUCAACAAGAAAACAUGCCAGCUUUCUUGUUGAUGACUCAUAAGUUGGAUAAUCUCUCCUAGCACCAUUUUACUACCUGCUUUCCACAUACUAGUGACUCCUCAUAAUCUUUGGGGAGGACAUUUAAUUUGUGAACAUUCACUGCCCUUUAAUUUUGACUUCUGGUUGCAUUUUAGUAUUCUUUUCCAAUGGACUGCCUCAUAACCUGUGCAACAUCAGCAUCCAAUCACUGUAAAGUGUGCAAAUGUCCCCAUGUUUUUUCUGGUCUAUAUCUAUGCUGGCCCUGAUGUUGGUAUAAUUCCCAGAGGGUCUUUUACAACCUCUUUUAGGAAGGCUUCAUUGACAGCCUCAGGCUAGGUUUAUGCUAUUUCUUUAUGUUCACCUAACACUGCAUAUUUUACUCUGUCAAAGGACUUUGUGAUUCUCUAGUGAAUUUUUCAAUUUACUCAUCUAAUUUUCCAAUUAUAUUGCAAAUAUUGAAAGCAGGAGCUAUAACCAACUCAGCUGGUUACCCACAGUGCUUAGCAUAGGAACAGCUAAUAAUAGGAAUGUAGAAAAUGCUGAAAAAUAAUGUGACUUGAGCCAGGCAUGGUGGCUCAUGCCUGUAAUCCCAGCACUUGGGGAGGCCGAGGUGGGCGGAUCACGAGAUCAGGAGAUCAAGACCAUCCUGACUAACUCAGUGAAACCCCUUCUCUACUGAAAAUACAAAAUAAUUAGCCAGGUGUGGUGGUGGGUGCCUGUAGUCCCAGCUCCUCGGGAGGCUGAGGCAGGAGAAUGGCGUGAACCCGGGAGGUGGAGAUUGCAGUGAGCCGAGAUCGCACAACUGCACUCCAGCCUGGGCGACAGAGCAAGACUCUGUCUCAAAAAAAAAAAAAAAAAAAAGGUGACUUGAAUGUACUAAUUUCUUUAACAAAAUGUAGAGAGACCUAUGAUGUGCAAAGCCCUAUGCUAGACUGUAAGAAUGCUGAAGCCAAAAAUAUGCUCACUGCUCUUAAGUGGCUCACAGAUAGCAGAGAACCUGAUAUUUGAAUGGAUAUUUGGGGCAAUGUCCCAUAGGUUAAUGUAAGAGAAUGUUUGCCACUGUGGGAACUCAGAGGAAAAUGCCUAGGAAAUGAAGAAAGCUUUUUUCUCUUUAUUUUAGAGGACAUUCUAUUCCAUAGUCCUGAAGAGCCUCUUUUGCAUUUAGAUGGAAAUUAACAGGUUAUCACCUAGUGUUUGAUAUUAUUAGUUCUCGCACUAAUCUUCUUAAGUACAAGUCUUGGUCUGUGAUCUUGAGCAAAUUAUUUACUCUCUCUGUGCCACAGAUUCCUCAUUUGUAAAAUAGGAGUAAUACACUGCCAGGACAAUCAGUUCCAUCAAGCAGGGCAGGGGCUGAGAGUUAUGCUGCUGGCCUUUCUUUCUCUGGGUCUUCAGUUGGAAUGUGGCUGGCCCAUGCUGGUUUUGUGUUUAAAUGCUGUACUUAUAACAAGAAGAAUCUUUUUUUUUAAGCUGUAGAUUUAUAAAAACUGAUCAUAUGCUGUGUAUACAGAAAUCUCAAGAUGGUAGAGACAUGUAUGAAUGUACUAAGUAGUAGUACUAAGUAUUCCACCAUGCUUAUUGGUAAGGUAGGUUUUAUUGCAAAACUCACACUAGGUACUUACAAAUGUAGCCCACUUCUUUCCAACUAUGAAAACAGUGUCACUACUUUAUGGUUCAGUCCCUGCAGACCCUUCUCAACGCUUUUCCUAUAGGUAAUUUUCUUCUGCAUCCUUCCUCCUACCUCCUACAUAAAAAAAAGAAAUCAGUGAACCCAAAAUAAAUAUGAAUAAUAAAUGUAUAUGCCUACCACAUAGGAUUGUUGUAAGGAUGAAAUGUGGAUGUCUUGAUAUCUUAGAAUGAUAUCUUGCAUUCAAUAAAUGCUAGCAUUAUCAGUCUUUUCAUUACAAUUAUUAUUGUUGUCCUCAGCAAACCAGCGAACUCCAUAAUUCUGGGACAGGCCUUUUCAAUGACAUGAAAAUAUAGAGUAGCAGCUCCAGCCCUAUAUUUAUGUUCAUGUUUGUGCCAUAGAGAUUUGUGAGGGGGACACACAAAGUGAGAAAGAGAUAUGGAUUCUGUUUGGAUUCCUUGGGAGAACAUGCAUUUUUUAAGAGCUGGAAACUUAAAACAUAAAAAACAAAGAUAUCCUAGAAUUUGUUGCUCAAGGUUCUGAAGAGACUUCUUAAAUUUUGAGAGCUGGAAAGAGGGGAAACAUUUAUUCUUUGCGACCUAAUAGCAGGAGAACUGUCAUGCUACAAUUCACGUUUCUCAACUAGAUGAGAAAAACAGGCUCAAAUACUUUCCAAUGCCUUGAAUGUUUAGUGAGAGAUGUGAAACUGGUAGAGUCCCCUGGUCCCUGUUUGUAGACUCAUUAUGCUUUCUCCUGGAAUGUUCUGAAUUCCUCUUAAACUCACAGAGAUUGGUGGAUACAGUCUUGGCUCAUCACAGCCAAUUCCAGCACACAUCUCCCUCUGGGACUUGGGACUUCUGAACAAAUGGCACAUCCAGCUGCAACCUCUUCUUCCAUUCUCCCCCAACUCCACAUUCAAGUCUUGAAAAUUACAUUUUCUACUCUUCAAUCAACUCCCAAAUGUAGACUUCCUCUACCUUUUGCUUUAUAUCUCCCAAGGUUGCAAAUGUAUUUCAUUCCAGCACUGAAACAAUUUAAAAUAACUAGCAUAUCUUGCCUGGAGAGAGAGGGCUCUUGGUAGCAAUCUCCCUGUGGUCUAUCCUACUAUUUCUACUUUCUUCUUGAUUUAGAGUCUGUCACUGUGAAUGGGGACCCAUUGUUCUCGGGAAGAAAUCUGAUAUUCUCAAGUAGCCCUCGACACCUUCACUGGCUGCCUCCCUUUUCUUUCUCUGUUCUUGCCCACAGCCUCUGAGGACUAACUUCACACAUUUCCCCCAUGCUACUUGGCCUAAGACUUGCUUUGCUCCUCCAUGCUGGCCUCCCCCAGCCCCCUCCUGGUAACCUCAAGAUGUAAAAUGCUAUAGUGUCUCUGGCUUGGACUCCUUAUCUGGCCCCCGAUUCUUUCCUUCUCCCUCUAAGACAUUGAAGAAGAAGAAGUAAUGUUCAUUUAUAAUGCCUAACUUCUCUAACUUUUCCUUCCAGUCUCCUUCAGAUGACAUUUUUGCUCAUGCUGCCUUACAAAUGAAAUGUCCUUUUCUCAAUUGCCCUAGAAGACGUGACAUUUACCCAGAAUUAGUUGGGAUUAGAUCCUUAGAUUGUUGCAUUAGAUGAGAAAUAGUUUUAACAAAGUUGGUGAUGGGUUGUAUAUCAAAACAGAGAGAAGUGGGAGGCACUCGCUGCUUUCGAGACAGUAUCCUCCUUCCACAAUGGAAUUUUUGGCAAGAUCUUCAAGUUCUUGAGUUUCUUUUUCUCUUUCCUUCCCAGAACUGCAGGAAAGAGUAAUUUUUAAUUAUUUAGGCUUCUCACCACCACCACUUUAUUGUCCUACAUGCUUUGUAACAUGCUGUAGAUGAAACCUGAAUAUCACACGAGGCUUCAGAAUCAGGAAAAUGUGUUCAAUGACUAUUCUAAUUCCUCUCACCCAGAUAUUAAGCCAUGUUCUUAAUAGUAUCUUCUAUUGGCUGUGCUUUUAUAUAUCUCCAGAACACUUUCAGACACAUUCUUAUUUGACUUCAAAAGUUGGUUUAUCUACUUCCUGUCCAGGGGUUGUCUUCUGAUUGAGUGGCUACAAUGUGGUCAGAGGGACAUAUACCUUCACCUACCAACGUGACAAAUCAAAACCAACAGACACAAAAGACUUAGGUACACGAUUAUUUUUGGACUAAGUACUAUGAAUACGAACCCAAAUAGGCCUAGUUCCUUCCUUCAAUGAGCCUGCAUUCUGUGCUGUCCUCAGAAUACUUGGGACCCACUUCUGUUGAGUUUAUAGAAAUGUGUGUGUAUGCAAGGCUGGAUUUUUAUAAAUUUCUCACUUACAAAAUGAUUUUUAUAAAAUGUCUCACUUAUGCUUCUUCCUUUUAUAAUAAUACAAGCCACAUACUUUAUAAGACACUAAAAAUAUUUUAUGAAUGGUUUUUGAAACCAAAUAUAAAUGUGAUUAUUUUACAGUAAAGUUCACAUCCAGGUUAUGAGGAAUUAAGAGACUCUUGACAGAUAGUCUGGAUGUUGGGAUGUGAAUAUAUGUGAAUAUAUAUAAAUAAAUACAUCUACAUGUGUAAAUUUAUAUAAAUACGCACAUACAUGUAGAUCUAUUUCAGGGUAAAUAUGGUAAGUAAUGCAUUUUGUUUGAAUAUUUUGCUCUCUUUGUAGAUAAAUAAGUGAGUUUUGUUUAUCCUAGUAAAGGAGUACUUCCUAAACAGGAUUCUAUUCAUUGCAGUAAUAGGGAACUAGUGAUUCUAAGUUGGAGAACUGGUGUGUCUACUGUCAUCACUUAUCACAAAGACCUUGGUGUAGGAUAUGCUCCUGGGAGAAGGCUCAUAGGGAGAGAGAUUUUUGUGAUGGAGUAAUCCAGAUGUUUGAACAGCUGUAUUAGCAGAGUUGUUUGGACAAUUUUACACAAUAAUAUUUUGUGAUCAAGUUUUGUUAUGUGAAAUGGCCAUUGUUUCUCAAAGUUCUUUUACUCAGAAACAGAACAUGAAUUCAUAGAGGGUCACAAUUUAAUUGAGAAAAUGAAAUAUAUCCUUCUGAGAUGUUACACUAAAACACAAAUGGCUUUUGCUCCAUCCCAGACAUUCAUGUGAAACAAAGCAUUCUGCUAAAGAAGAAACCCAUAAGGACUUUUUAAAAUAGGAUACACUUUGAUUGUGAUCCAAGGAAGAACUGAUAGUGAGAGAUUAAAACAUUUCCAGGGAAAUUUAUAGCUUCCUGCAUUUUUAAGGUUACUUUAUGUCUUUACUUAAUGGGCAGGCAUAAUUUAUAUUUGCCAUGGCAGAAAGACGCAUGGCCAGAGAUUUUCUCUGCUACUCAGGAUCUUGGUUGAUUUAAGAGAGGAGAUGCUAUCUCAUGCAGUACCAAAUGGAGCCAAGACCUGUACACUUCACACAGCAGCCAAGCCUGUCUAUAUAUGUUGACACGUUUUAUAGGCAGUACUUUUCUGAGCUCUUGAUCAAGAUCAGAAUAAAAAUACAAAUAAUAAUAAUAAGAUAAAAAAAAGGAUAGGAAAAGAGGAGCAGGAGAAUAAAGUGAAAUUGCUACUGUGCCAGAAAUGCUAAGAUUAGCAUCAGCAAUUAAUAAUCCUAGGGCUUCUGUAAUUCUAGAGUGUUCUGUAAUUCUAGAGUGUGUGUUAACUAGAGUCAACUCAGCAAAUGUUUAUGGAGACCAUGUGCCAAGCAUUGUGCUAGACACUGAAAGAUUAGAAAGGUGAAUCAGACUCACCCCUCUAUGAUCUAGUUGGGACACUCUCCUAUGGGAAUUAUUGCCAAGAAAAAAAAAGACAUUAAAUGUGACAGAGAAGCACAAAGAAAAAUACUAUAGGAACAAAACUCAGAGAUUCUGCUUGAUUUAGAGAUUGGGAAAGCCACAUGGAGGAAGAGAGACAUACAAAGGAUUUUACAGGAAGUGUGAAUUCUGGUGAAUGGAUAUGGAAAAAAAGACAUUUUUGCUUGCACAAUUUGUGGAGAUGGGAGUAUAUAUAUAGCACUGGAGGAUGAAGAAGUCUGAGUACGUGGAAUAAAGGAUGCUUUACGGGGACUGUGGCAAGGAAAGUCUGGGUCAUCAUUAGUAGAAUCUGUUCUCAUUAUUAGUAGCACUAGAGUGAGGUUUGCUCUAGUGUGGACUUAGAAUAGGCCAUACACUAAAGCCUGAUGUAGGUGGGCACUGGUUUGAAUCCCACCUCCUGCUUUGUUCCAGUUCUCCAAGCCGCCAUCCUAUGGUUCAUUCUGCCAUGAGCUUCUCUUUAUGCUGCAAUAGAUUUUAGGGAAACUGAAAUGACCUGUCAAAGAGAAGGAUCCCCUAACGGUGAAAAGGCCAGGUAACACGCUGAGCCGAAGGGGAUGCCUGGGUUUUUACUUCGGUUCUGUUCCAAAGGGACCAUCCUUGGACUGUGCUUAUCUUCUCCCUCCCUGGAGGCUCCAGAUCCUUUUCAUUUGGUUUCUAGACAUAAGUUGCCUUUAAUAUGGGCUUUAGGGAUUUGGGCUUGAUCCUGAGAAGUGCUAUGAAGUUGUGGACAAAGACUCUGGCUCUGUGAGAGUUCUGCUUACUGGCUAUAGCCUAGAAGGGUGCAGUGCUAUGUGUAUAAAUCAUCAUUGUACCCUGGUACCCAUUAAAAUUAUUGGACUGAGAAUCAUUGGCUUGGGAUUUUGUCUUGGUUUGACUAAGACUGAGCUUUAUUACCUUGGGCCAGUUACUUAACCUAUUUGACCUCCAGUUUUGUCCUUUGUAAAAUUAUUUGGUUCUACUUGAUCUCCAAGUUUUCCUCCAGCUCCAGUUUUUACUGUUGUUCUACAAAGAAAUUCGGAUUGUAUGGCUUUUAAAACAUGAAUAAUCCAAGAGUGGCUGAAGUUUCACAUUUCAUAUUGACUUUUGUGUUAAAUUUACUUUUAGCUGAUAUACUUCAAAUUUGAUAUGAAAUGGCAAACAUUAAGUCAUUCUUUCCUUGCAAGUAUAAUUCUAAUGUAAGUCAUUAAUCCUGCCAAGGAGGGAAAAAAGUCAAAUAUUAUUGUAAACAAACAGCUGAUGGGAAUGCCAAGUUUAUUUAAGUUUUGAAAAUCUUUGCAGAGGAAGUAGUAUCCUGUAGUGAUUAAAUCAAACAGCUAUAUUAGGAAUUCCUUACCAAAAUCAGGUAUUUACAGUAAAUUUUGCUGUGGAAUGUUGGCUGGUUUCUAUACAGUUCUGAGGCUAUUUUGCUUCAUCUUGAAAGUAGCAGGGUAUUAAAAUACAGUACCGUGAACAUUUUACCCUGAAGCUUAGCUGCCUUUUAUUUUAGGGAGGAAAAGGUAAAAACUUUGGAAUAUAGUUGUGUAAUGUAGCAUAAUGCAGUAUAAAGAGGAAUGCUCACAUGUUUAAUGCCCCACAAAUGGAACUUCAGAAAACCACAGUAGCUUUUAAAUGGUGCAUUGCAAGAAUAAAAACAUGAUCCAACCCUGAAAGCAUUCCUGCUGGGUGGCUAGAUGUUACUGCCUUUUAGGCCUGACUUUUCUCAGGGGUAAAUCAGACCUUGUACAGCCUUUUAUAGAGUGAGGCCUAGAUUGUUCCAUUAUGCUUAGGAAAAUAUGAAAAACGAGCUAAGUGUUUCAGCAAUUUUUUAAGCUAAUUGAAUCAGUAAGGCAGAAGCCAAGAGUGGGAGAAUUUCUAAUUCUGGUCCUUUGCUUUGGGCAAUGAUAUUAGAAGCUAAUGCAUAAAGUAUGAGUUAUGAAUGCCUGUUUACUUGUGUGCCUUCCUAACUAAACUGAGUUGCUUGAAGAAAGGGACCUUGGCUUGUAUAAAUGCAUAUUUCUGUCUGUGGUGACUAGUACAUAAAUGGACAUAAUGGGUCACCAGUGAUUAUUUGUAGAAUAGAAAAAUGAAUUCAAUAGAAAAAAAUCUUUAGAGCAGAGGAAAAUAACAAAAGCAAUACAUGAAUGAGAAGAAGAAUGAGCAAAGAUUUUCGGGAUAAAUAGUGGGAAUUAUUAGCUUUGUGAAAUGAAGGAUUCCUCGGUGCUUGUUAGCUUUCCUUAAUGUUCUGUUUAAAAUGCAUCCGUAUUUAUUGGACCCUUAUUUUUACAAUGGGAUGAAAUCUUGUAAAAUUGGGGUUUUUACAUUUCAACAAAGAUAGAAGUUGAUUCUAGAAAUUAAAUACAAAUUAUCCAAAGUGUCAUUCUUUGGGGAGCAGUGUAUAGGAUGGGGUUGUCUCCUGGGACCUUUAGAUGCUUCAAUUUGGCCCAUUAUACAAAUACAAUUUUUACUACCCUUUUAUUGACUGUCUUUAAGUUGACAUUUUCAUACUAGUUUUCUGCCCAUCCAUCCUGCAGAAAAACGGCUUGAUGUAGUGUAGAGAGAGAAUAUAAGAGCCCUGGAAAUCAUUAUAUUUGGCAUUCUGGAGUACAGGGUGGGUUCAUAGAUCAUAAUAUAUUUGUGUGUGUGUGUGUGCGCGCACGUGUGUGUCUAUGUGACUGACUUAAUACUACAUAUUAACAAUGGAAAUACCCAAAGUGAAAGAAAAUUAAGGAAAAGGCAUUUUAUUAUCCGCUUUCUGAUAUUGAUUUACAACGUCAAAGCAAAGACACAGGGAUUGGUGAGAUAUUUAGCAAUCAAUUUUCUAUCUGUUUUUCAGUAUGUUGCUGGUUUAUAACUCGUGUCUUAAAAAUUAGUGUGUGAUGGCUGGGUGCGGUGGCUCACACCUCUAAGCCCAGCACUUUGGGAGGCCGAGGCAGGCGGAUCACAAAGUCAGGAGUUCGAGACCACCCUGGCCAACAUAGUGAAACCCCGUCUCUACUAAAAAUACAAAAAAUUAGCCAGGCGUGGUGGCAGGCGCCUGUAAUCCCAGCUAUUCAGGAGGCCGAGGCAGGAGAAUGGCUUGAACCCAGGAGGCGGAGGUUGCAGUGAGCUGAGAUCGCGCCAUUGCACUCCAGCCUGGGCGACAGAGCAAGGCUCUGUCUCAAAAAUAAAAAUAAUAAAAUAAAAUAAAAUAAAUUGGUGUGUGGUUUAAACACAGAUUUUACACUUUAAAUUGAGACCAUCAUCUCAGUUUUGAAGUAGGAAAUUCCUAAGAUAACUUUACUUUGUAAAAAAUGAGGUCUCUCAAAUGGUAGACAAUUAAUCCCAAGGCUUUAAUUGUCAUCUAAAAACAUAAAGAAUAAAGUGUGCCAUUUCCUUUUUUAUCUUUUCUUUUGGCUUUGUUUUAGAGAAAAUAAUUUUCUUAUCAAUUCUGCAGACAUAGUGCUAGCUUAUAUCUUAAGAGCGGAUGCUAUCAGUUUUAGUACAUUCGCUGAAGUUAAACUAUCUACAUUGAGUAGGAGAGGGGAGCUCUCCUGGCAUUAAACCCAAACAGAACCUUAGUAAAAUUUAUAAUAAAUCCACUUCAUUAUUGCAUUAUAUAAAUGGUUUUAAUCCUAGAAAUGGCUAUUAAUGUGGUGUCCUCUUUAUAUUUUGAUACCAUAAACAUAGAAUAUGACACAAAAUUGGAAAAAUGGAAUUCAUUCAUUUGAAUGUGUUGCUGUGGUUUUUUUUCUCCCCUGGCUAUUCUAGAGGUUAAAGCUAAGGAAAUGUCUCUAAUUUUGAUGUUCAUUUGGUGCAAUCUAAAUAUGUUUCUUGUUAGCGGCGAUUAUAUGGAAAUAAAUUUUAUUAAAUAUUUAUUUUUGAGAUUAGAAUUCUUGAGCUUCAGGCACAUUUGAAAUCAUUACUUAAAGGUGGAAAAAGUUACUUUAUAGAUUUUAAAGCUGGAAAUGUCCCUGAUUCAAAAAAAAUGAACUUAUUCUGGGUCACCCAAAAUACUUUAAAAAUUUCUUUUAACAACAGUUAUGUAUUGAAUACUACAAGAAAUGGGCGGGGCUUGACUGCCUUCAACAGGUGCAUAAUCUGUUCUCUUCUUAAACCAUCUCUCUAUCCAAAUGUCAUGUUAAGGGCUUUGGAUAUCAUUCUUCUGGGCCAUAACAUCCUGUUUAUAUGUCCAUCCCCAAAUUAAUUUUCUUCUAUUAAUUAGAACAAAAUAUUGAACUGUGUGUUUGUCUUCCCAACCAGACCCUGAGAUCUUCAAAGUCAAGAGCAGUGUUUUGUUCAAUCUUAUGUUCCAAGAAAAAAAACACAUACACACAUGGAUCUUGACACUAAAUACUUUAAACGAAUCCCAUACUUUGGGCCAUUAGAUUAUUUCUUCUGUCUCCCAUUUUGCCUUAUAUAACAUUGCAACAAAUAUUUUUUCAUAUAAAGCUUGGUUUGCUUUGUGAAAUUUUCUCAAAUAUUCCUUGUAUAAUAAUAAUAAUAAACAUUUACAUUUAUAUUUCGUGUUUUAAUUAUAUUGCUAAGUACUUCACAUGUGUUACAUUAAUUAAUCCUCAUAGUAACCUCUAAACUAAUUACUAUUUUCUUUUUACAAAUGAGUAACCUGGUAUUUGGAAAUUAACAGUUCAUCCAAGACCACACGGUCAGUAAGCAAAUCCAAAACUAUCUGAGCCUAAAGUCUGUGUCAUUAUACGUUAUGCUAUAUUUACUUAUUUUCUGGUAGUGGAAUUAAUAAGUCAAAAUUAAGAAUAAUAAAACUAUUAGUUUUAUUAAUGAAUACAAUAAAGAUAUAAGAUUCUUGAAAAACUGAAUGCUCUACAGGAAAGGGAACGUGACGUUUUGCUGCAGGUGUCAAAGCUUUGCAUGGGGAGCUUCCUUAGCACUUGACAUGUGUGCCUUCCUAUGUGGUCCUAAGGAGAGUUCUGUACAUGCGCUGAGCUGGAAGAACAAUGCAGCAGUUCAGCACUAUAGAUCAUUCUGGCCUCCAAGUUGUUCUAACAUACCUUCUUGACAGAAAGUAGAUCAGAGAAAAAGGUGUUCUCUGUUAAGUGACACCAAGAGCACCUAAUGAUCCAAAAACAUCUCACUCUUGUGGCAUUGAAGCCAGGAUGUCAGCUUGGUCCAUGCAUUGAUAUGCCUGGUGUGUUUGUGCCUUUUCUGAGAAACAGUGGGGGCUGCUGCUUUAUGCUAGCCAAGGACACAACUGUGGAACACAAAUAUCAAUGUAUCUCAAGUCAGAAAGCAAGGAAAGAAUGAUUGGCCCAAGGAAGCUAGGUGACCAGUGUAGACCUUCCAGAAUUAAUCCCUGUGUGACCUAUAUCUGGCUCUGUCUGAGGAGGAUGGGCCAAAAGAUUUGCUUACUCAGCGCUUUUUCACAUUUGCCCAAAUCUCCUAAUAAAUGUAGCAUACAUAAUAUAGCAUAAAAUGUCCUUAGUAUGGUAUAUUGGAAUGAGGAGACAAAGACCUGUGUUAGCAUCGUGGAGUAGUGUUCCUAAGUAAAAUUUAUCUUCUGCACAGAGACUUCAGUUUCUUCAUUUAUAAAAUGAGGAGGCAGGGAUAAGAUAAUCUGUUAAAUUUCUUUCCAACUUUUGAGUUGUUAUCAUGGUGAGUUCUAUAAUAACAUUUAACAUUAAGAGUUCUAUAAAUAACAUUUGGUUCUGAUUUAGACUGAAAGUGUGUUCAAAUUCUUGCUCUACAACUUACUAGCAGUGUGUCUUUGGCCAUGUUACUGAACUUUUAUGAACCUCAGAUUCUAUUUCUGUAAAGUGGAGCUACUAAUACUUUUUAUUUUUUGUGGAAAGACAGCUCAAUGCCUAGCACAAAGUCAUUCUAUGAGAAAUGAAGACAUGGUAAUGAUGAUGAUGCCAUCAAUGAUUCUGUUUACCCCAGUUUUUCAUAAACAGUCACAUCAGAUGUUCAAUGUCAGUGUGCUGUAUAGUGUAUGUAUUAGUUUCCCAGGGCUGCUAGUAUAAAGCACCAUAAACUUUGUAGCUUAAGCUAUCAGAAAUUUAUUCUCACAAUUUUAGAGGAUAGAAGUCUUAAAUCUAGGUGUUGGCCAGGCUGGCUCCUUGUGAAGGUUCUUGGGUAGAAUCUGGGCUAUGCCUUUCUCCUAGCUUCCAGUGGCCGCUGGAAAUCCUUGGCAUUUCUUGGCUUACAGUUACAUCCCUCAAAUUCUGCUUCUGUCUUCCAUGUCCAUCUUCCCUCUCUGUGUGUAUUAGAGUCCCCAUGUCUUCCUAGGAUCUUCUUAUAAGUACAAUAGUCAUUGAUUGAGGGCCCACCCUAAUCUAGCGUCACCCCAUUUUAACUUGAAUACAUUAUUAAAGACAACUAUUUCCAAGUAAGUUCACAUUCUAAGUUAGCAGAGGUUAACACUUCAAUGUAUCUUUUUGGGGAACACAAUUCUACACAAAAUAGUCUAUGGGGAACUGUACAAAUAUAAAGCAGUGAAGUUAUGAUUUCUGAUAGUGAUGAUCACAGGUUAUGCAAAAUCAGAAUAUAAACGAGUGACUUAACUAGGUUACCUUGAUCUCUCUAUAUGCUCAUUGCUUAUAGAAAUCAAGUCAGGGAGGAUUUUGGUUACACUCCAUGUCAUAGAUCACUAAAGUCAUCCGAGUUUUCCAAUUUUGGGGAAUAGUCUGUGUUCCUAAAUGACUUUUGAUUUCCCCCAAAAUUUGUGUCUUGGCUGUCUUUGGAAAUGGUGACUGCUGAAGACAGUGAAAUUAUCUUUGAACUCAAAAAUGACCCAUUAUCAAAACGACUACUAAUUUUGUGUCUGUCAGGCUCUGAGUCAGAUGAUUUAUUCUUAUUCAGUGGCUUGCCUCUGGUGUGGCUCCACCUGCUAGCUCAGAACUGCUCCACCUGCACCUCGGCCCCACUGGCAAAAGCCAGGUCCUAAUGCUGCAUGACAAAUCGCAGCACCAAACUCAUUUACUUCCGAACCACUGAGCAGGAAUCCCUUGAUUUUAAACCCAUCAGCAUCAUGCCUUCAAUUGCCAUUUCCUUAGCAAGUGUGAAUUUGGGGGGGGCAUAGUUCUCAAAACCCUCAAGAUGUACCGUCUCCACAAGGAGGCCAAAUUAAUAUGACAUUUAGGAAGGGCUCUAAGCUAAGAAAAACAUCUUUCCUAGGAACCUCCAAGUAUCUCCCUCCCCAAACACAUGAAUUUAUGAUCCCAUGUGUGAGUUACAGGGCCAGCAGAUGAUGAUAGCUGACAAGCUAUCUUUGAUUUAUUUUCUCUUGUGUCCAAAACACUCAGAAAAUAAUAUUUUGUUGUUCGCCAAAUUGGAACCUUAGUUCUACCGAUGAAUGCCUAAGCUUGCCAGAUAUCUACUGUUUUACUGUCUUCUUCUCCAAUAAACAUAUCUGAAAUGUUGUCUGCAGAUCUAACUUUCAGGAUCAGCAUCGUUCCAAGGUCAGGGCAUGGCACUGAAGCUGCCUUGUUUCCAUUGAGGAUUGAUGUAAUUUUCGCCAUUCCCCUCUGUUCUUUUAUGAAAUUCUGGGAUUAUUCAGCCUUUUCUAGAAUCUUAAAUCUAUAUUUCUAUCUAUCAUUUAUCUGUUGACCUGCUUAUCUAUCAUCUAUCUGUGAUAUUACGUUAUUUCUUUGAAUAUAUAAAAUAUUAAAAUUUUGAAUAGACAAAUUUGAAAGACUAGAAAUAUAAAUGGUGGUGGAUUUAUUUCCAGAAAUAAUAAGCAUCUUUUUCUUCUUGAGCUUCAAUUUCCCUAAUUUCCUUUUGUUCUCAUUAUUCUUGAACUCCUACAUUCAAUUAACCCUUGGUUGCCCUACUAAAUUUUAAUCUUCUUGAUGUUUUACUUAUUUUCUCCAUCAUGGUAUAUUUUUCCAGAUUCCUGCUCUUUUUGCCUUUCUGUCUUCAUUCCUCUCUCCUUCUCUCCUGUCCUCCAUCCUUGUCUUCUUAUCUCUCUUCCUUCCUUUUCUACCUCUUUUAUAAUUCAAAAAGAAUGAACGUGUAUAAUGAAAGAAGUAGAAGAAGGAUAAGAGAAGGAGAAGGAGGAGAAGGAUGAGGAGAAGGAGGAGGGGGAAUAGAAGAGAGAAGUGGAGAGAGACAGAGAGAGAGACAGAGAGAGAAAGAAAAAAGGCAUAAGGGAAAGGAAAAAAAGCAUAAAGUGGUAAGAUGAGAAGAUGGGAACAGGGAAGAAGAAAAUACCUAAAACUACAAGGCCUAACAUUAGUGGACAAUGUAUUUAGCACUGAAUGCUUGUCCAGUGAACACUAAAAGGGAAAUAUGACUAGUUGCAAAAUAUACACUGCUGCUAAUGUAAAAUCAUACCAUUUGCUUAACAAAAUGGAAAAAUAUUACAGUUUGAAACUACAGUAAGAUAAAGAUUUCUUAAUUGAAUAUCAGCCCCUAAAUUGGCUUUUAACAACCAAAAGUUUUGAUGUAAUAAUUUCAAUUCAAUGGGAAGUGAAGCCGACGACUUCACUGAGGCACUGACCGCCCAAUGCAAAGCUGCAUCUCCAAGAAAGGCUGCAGGAAGGCUCAGUUGUAAGAACACAGAAUCUAGAGUUCCAAGACCUAGGCUUACGUGUUUUUAUCACUCACAUGUUCUGUGACCUCAGGCAAGCCUCCUUGUCUCUUUGUCUCUCAAGGGAAUAAUGAAAAAAAGUCUCAUAUACAUGCAAGUGUUAUCAUUAGUUAUUAAUUAUUGUCAUCACAAAUUGUUAUGUUCCAAAUACACUUUAAGUCUCAGAUAACACCAUUUUUCAGUCUAUUGUAACAUUGUUAAAAUAUUUGAUUCCAUUAAGUUAAUUCAAUAUAUUGAAUAUUUCAUGGAAAAACUUUAAGUGCUUUUUAAAAAAUGUUCAAGGGCUUUUAUUUUCUGGUUUUCAGGUCAAAUUUUUGGUUCACAGAUGUUACAAAAAUACAUAUGGAGGGCAUCCACUGCAACAGCUCAAUAUUCUUUUAGAUUACGUUUUAAGAAAAAAAAAAGAGAACAAAAAACUUACAACAACACCUGUUAUUCAGCAGAAUUUGACCUGACCCCUUUCUCCUUUUCUUGUUAUUAUAAACAUCAAGCUCUUUAAGUGAGAGCUGUUUAAAGGACUGAGGGUUGUGAGUGUUCCUUCCUAGAUCCCAGAUGCAUUGGGAGACGGAUGGGCUUUUUGAUCUUUAUUUUAUGAGUGUCUGAUAAAUUGCCUCUGGCACCUGGCAACUGAAAUUUCACUAUCUGAAAACUAACCCUCAUGUCAAACAAUGUGACCAGCCUUAGCCUCUCAGUUGAGGAUCUCUGUAGCUGGGUGGAGGAUGCCUUCCACUUCCUGGUCAGGUCUACCACCAUGCUCAGGGGUUUACAUACUUUUAAUUUCAGAGGGAAGGAAGGAUUAUUAAAGGGCUUUAUAUGCUAUGCAAAAAUGUGCUUUUUGAAAGGUUUCAUCAUAACUCCCAUUCUAGGAUUUUUGAAUAAGUCAAAUAGAGACUUCAGCCCACUGUCUGGCCUGAAAAAAAAUGCUGGUAACAGGAUAAAGAUUUGCAACUCUGGGUCAUGAGCCUCUUCUCACUAGACUCCAUCUGUGUGUUGAUAUAAGAAGAAUGCAGGUGGUCUUUUUCUAGGAACAGCAAAGCUAUAAACAAAGUCAUCAGCUCAGACUAUUAUCACCUUUCUUUUAACAUCUUAUCCGGGGCAAGAUUAACUCAACCCCAAGAAAGGGCUCUAUAGUUUUCUCUGUUUACAGAGAUUCAAAUAUGCAGAUAUUUUAAUUUUUAAGAAGAUAGAAAAA
Homo sapiens (human) is the source of this 17901-nucleotide long non-coding RNA. RefSeq lists it as uncharacterized. The transcript is spliced from 3 exons. NCBI's taxonomy places the organism in Eukaryota, Metazoa, Chordata, Mammalia, Primates, Hominidae. The record is from RefSeq and is a predicted model, not a curated record.